ACCUAGCUGGCUCAGUCAGUGGAGCAUGUGACUUUUGAUCUCAGGGAUGUGAGUUCCAGUCCCACAUUGGGCA
This 73-nucleotide transfer RNA is filed under the name Felis catus (domestic cat). It matches the Rfam family "tRNA". From Rfam's summary of the family: Transfer RNA (tRNA) molecules are approximately 80 nucleotides in length. Their secondary structure includes four short double-helical elements and three loops (D, anti-codon, and T loops). RNAcentral also lists the same sequence under 4 other names. The record is from Rfam by way of RNAcentral. Lineage: Eukaryota; Metazoa; Chordata; Mammalia; Carnivora; Felidae.